CAUCAGCACCAGCACGCUCCCAAGCAUUAAGCUCAGGAAAUGCAGCAGCAAGAUAAUCACGAGUAUCCUUUCCUUUAUCAGCGGCAGACUUGCCACCAAGUCCAACCAAAUCAAGCAACUUAUCAGAAACGGCAGAAGUGCCAGCCUGCAACGUACCUUCAAGAAGUCCUUUACCAGCUUUAGCCAUAGCACCAGAAACAAAACUAGGGACGGCC
RNAcentral lists this ribosomal RNA (215 nucleotides) under uncultured prokaryote. RNAcentral's name for it is "partial 16S ribosomal RNA". The record is from RNAcentral.